RNAcentral lists this ribosomal RNA (465 nucleotides) under Vreelandella stevensii. RNAcentral describes it as "partial 16S ribosomal RNA". It matches the Rfam family "Bacterial small subunit ribosomal RNA", at positions 338 to 795 of the family's 1533-position model. Lineage: Bacteria; Pseudomonadati; Pseudomonadota; Gammaproteobacteria; Oceanospirillales; Halomonadaceae. The record is from RNAcentral.
CCUACGGGGGGCAGCAGUGGGGAAUAUUGGACAAUGGGGGCAACCCUGAUCCAGCCAUGCCGCGUGUGUGAAGAAGGCCCUCGGGUUGUAAAGCACUUUCAGUGAGGAAGAACGCCUGGUGGUUAAUACCCAUCAGGGAAGACAUCACUCACAGAAGAAGCACCGGCUAACUCCGUGCCAGCAGCCGCGGUAAUACGGAGGGUGCGAGCGUUAAUCGGAAUUACUGGGCGUAAAGCGCGCGUAGGUGGCUUGAUAAGCCGGUUGUGAAAGCCCCGGGCUCAACCUGGGAACGGCAUCCGGAACUGUCAAGCUAGAGUGCAGGAGAGGAAGGUAGAAUUCCCGGUGUAGCGGUGAAAUGCGUAGAGAUCGGGAGGAAUACCAGUGGCGAAGGCGGCCUUCUGGACUGACACUGACACUGAGGUGCGAAAGCGUGGGUAGCAAACAGGAUUAGAUACCCGAGUAGUC